GGUUAAGCGACUAAGCGUACACGGUGGAUGCCCUGGCAGUCAGAGGCGAUGAAGGACGUGCUAAUCUGCGAUAAGCGUCGGUAAGGUGAUAUGAACCGUUAUAACCGGCGAUUUCCGAAUGGGGAAACCCAGUGCAAUUCGUUGCACUAUCAUUGCGUGAAUACAUAGCGUAAUGAAGCGAACCGGGGGAACUGAAACAUCUAAGUACCCCGAGGAAAAGAAAUCAACCGAGAUUCCCCCAGUAGCGGCGAGCGAACGGGGAGCAGCCCAGAGUCUGAAUCAGCUUGUGUGUUAGUGGAACGGUCUGGAAAGUCCGACGGUACAGGGUGAUAGUCCCGUACACCAAAACACACAGGUUGUGAACUCGAAGAGUAGGGCGGGACACGUGGUAUCCUGUCUGAAUAUGGGGGGACCAUCCUCCAAGGCUAAAUACUCCUGACUGACCGAUAGUGAACCAGUACCGUGAGGGAAAGGCGAAAAGAACCCCGGCGAGGGGAGUGAAAAAGAACCUGAAACCGUGUACGUACAAGCAGUGGGAGCCUCUUUAUGGGGUGACUGCGUACCUUUUGUAUAAUGGGUCAGCGACUUAUAUUCUGUAGCAAGGUUAACCGAAUAGGGGAGCCGAAGGGAAACCGAGUCUUAACUGGGCGUUAAGUUGCAGGGUAUAGACCCGAAACCCGGUGAUCUAGCCAUGGGCAGGUUGAAGGUUGGGUAACACUAACUGGAGGACCGAACCGACUAAUGUUGAAAAAUUAGCGGAUGACUUGUGGCUGGGGGUGAAAGGCCAAUCAAACCGGGAGAUAGCUGGUUCUCCCCGAAAGCUAUUUAGGUAGCGCCUCGUGAAUUCAUCUUCGGGGGUAGAGCACUGUUUCGGCUAGGGGGUCAUCCCGACUUACCAACCCGAUGCAAACUGCGAAUACCGAAGAAUGUUAUCACGGGAGACACACGGCGGGUGCUAACGUCCGUCGUGAAGAGGGAAACAACCCAGACCGCCAGCUAAGGUCCCAAAGUCAUGGUUAAGUGGGAAACGAUGUGGGAAGGCACAGACAGCCAGGAUGUUGGCUUAGAAGCAGCCAUCAUUUAAAGAAAGCGUAAUAGCUCACUGGUCGAGUCGGCCUGCGCGGAAGAUGUAACGGGGCUAAACCAUGCACCGAAGCUGCGGCAGCGACACUAUGUGUUGUUGGGUAGGGGAGCGUUCUGUAAGCCGUUGAAGGUGUGCUGUGAGGCAUGCUGGAGGUAUCAGAAGUGCGAAUGCUGACAUAAGUAACGAUAAUGCGGGUGAAAAACCCGCACGCCGGAAGACCAAGGGUUCCUGUCCAACGUUAAUCGGGGCAGGGUGAGUCGACCCCUAAGGCGAGGCCGAAAGGCGUAGUCGAUGGGAAACAGGUUAAUAUUCCUGUACUUGGUGUUACUGCGAAGGGGGGACGGAGAAGGCUAUGUUGGCCGGGCGACGGUUGUCCCGGUUUAAGCGUGUAGGUGUGUGUUCCAGGUAAAUCCGGAAUGCUUUAACACUGAGGCGUGAUGACGAGGCACCACGGUGCUGAAGUGACAAAUGCCCUGCUUCCAGGAAAAGCCUCUAAGCAUCAGGUAACACGAAAUCGUACCCCAAACCGACACAGGUGGUCAGGUAGAGAAUACCAAGGCGCUUGAGAGAACUCGGGUGAAGGAACUAGGCAAAAUGGUGCCGUAACUUCGGGAGAAGGCACGCUGAUAUGUAGGUGAAGUGAUUUACUCAUGGAGCUGAAAUCAGUCGAAGAUACCAGCUGGCUGCAACUGUUUAUUAAAAACACAGCACUGUGCAAACACGAAAGUGGACGUAUACGGUGUGACGCCUGCCCGGUGCCGGAAGGUUAAUUGAUGGGGUUAUCCGUAAGGAGAAGCUCUUGAUCGAAGCCCCGGUAAACGGCGGCCGUAACUAUAACGGUCCUAAGGUAGCGAAAUUCCUUGUCGGGUAAGUUCCGACCUGCACGAAUGGCGUAAUGAUGGCCAGGCUGUCUCCACCCGAGACUCAGUGAAAUUGAACUCGCUGUGAAGAUGCAGUGUACCCGCGGCAAGACGGAAAGACCCCGUGAACCUUUACUAUAGCUUGACACUGAACACUGGUCCUUGAUGUGUAGGAUAGGUGGGAGGCUUUGAAGUGUGGACGCCAGUCUGCAUGGAGCCGACCUUGAAAUACCACCCUUUAAUGGCUGGUGUUCUAACGUGGGCCCGUGAUCCGGGUUGCGGACAGUGUCUGGUGGGUAGUUUGACUGGGGCGGUCUCCUCCCAAAGAGUAACGGAGGAGCACGAAGGUUAGCUAAUCCUGGUCGGACAUCAGGAGGUUAGUGCAAAGGCAUAAGCUAGCUUGACUGCGAGAGUGACGGCUCGAGCAGGUGCGAAAGCAGGUCUUAGUGAUCCGGUGGUUCUGAAUGGAAGGGCCAUCGCUCAACGGAUAAAAGGUACUCCGGGGAUAACAGGCUGAUACCGCCCAAGAGUUCAUAUCGACGGCGGUGUUUGGCACCUCGAUGUCGGCUCAUCACAUCCUGGGGCUGAAGUAGGUCCCAAGGGUAUGGCUGUUCGCCAUUUAAAGUGGUACGCGAGCUGGGUUUAGAACGUCGUGAGACAGUUCGGUCCCUAUCUGCCGUGGGCGCUGGAGAAUUGAGGGGGGCUGCUCCUAGUACGAGAGGACCGGAGUGGACGCAUCACUGGUGUUCGGGUUGUCAUGCCAAUGGCACUGCCCGGUAGCUAAAUGCGGAAGAGAUAAGUGCUGAAAGCAUCUAAGCACGAAACUUGCCCCGAGAUGAGUUCUCCCUGACCCUUUAAGGGUCCUGAAGGAACGUUGAAGACGACGACGUUGAUAGGCCGGGUGUGUAAGCGCAGCGAUGCGUUGAGCUAACCGGUACUAAUGAACCGUGAGGCUUAACCUU
RNAcentral lists this ribosomal RNA (2906 nucleotides) under Citrobacter braakii. RNAcentral's name for it is "23S ribosomal RNA". It matches the Rfam family "Bacterial large subunit ribosomal RNA". Lineage: Bacteria; Pseudomonadati; Pseudomonadota; Gammaproteobacteria; Enterobacterales; Enterobacteriaceae. The record is from RNAcentral.